RNAcentral lists this ribosomal RNA (252 nucleotides) under uncultured bacterium. Its description in RNAcentral is "partial 16S ribosomal RNA". It matches the Rfam family "Bacterial small subunit ribosomal RNA", at positions 793 to 1055 of the family's 1533-position model. The record is from RNAcentral.
GUCCACGCCGUAACGUUGGCGCUAGGUGUGGGAACCUUCCACGUUCUCCGUGCCGUAGCUAACGCAUUAAGCGCCCGCCUGGGAGUACGGCCGCAAGGCUAAACUCAAAGGAAUUGACGGGCCCGCACAAGCGGCGGAGCAUGCGGCUUAAUUCGAUGCAACGCGAAGAACCUUACCUAGGCUUGACAUAUACCGAAACUCAUAGAGAUAUGGGUCCGCAAGGGCGGUAUACAGGUGGUGCAUGGUUGUCGU